CUCCCUCCACAAGGGUUGGGCCACCGGCUUCAGGUGUUACCGACUUUCAUGACUUGACGGGCGGUGUGUACAAGACCCGGGAACGUAUUCACCGCAGCGUUGCUGAUCUGCGAUUACUAGCGACUCCGACUUCAUGAGGUCGAGUUGCAGACCUCAAUCCGAACUGGGACCGGCUUUUUGGGAUUCGCUCCACCUCACGGUAUUGCAGCCCUUUGUACCGGCCAUUGUAGCAUGCGUGAAGCCCAAGACAUAAGGGGCAUGAUGAUUUGACGUCAUCCCCACCUUCCUCCGAGUUGACCCCGGCAGUAUCCCAUGAGUUCCCACCAUUACGUGCUGGCAACAUAGAACGAGGGUUGCGCUCGUUGCGGGACUUAACCCAACAUCUCACGACACGAGCUGACGACAACCAUGCACCACCUGUUCACCAGUGUCCAAAGAGUCCCGUAUUUCUACGGUGUUCUGGUGUAUGUCAAGCCUUGGUAAGGUUCUUCGCGUUGCAUCGAAUUAAUCCGCAUGCUCCGCCGCUUGUGCGGGUCCCCGUCAAUUCCUUUGAGUUUUAGCCUUGCGGCCGUACUCCCCAGGCGGGGAACUUAAUGCGUUAGCUGCGUCACGGAAACCGUGGAAUGGUCCCCACAACUAGUUCCCAACGUUUACGGGGUGGACUACCAGGGUAUCUAAGCCUGUUUGCUCCCCACCCUUUCGCUCCUCAGCGUCAGUUACGGCCCAGAGAUCUGCCUUCGCCAUCGGUGUUCCUCCUGAUAUCUGCGCAUUCCACCGCUACACCAGGAAUUCCAAUCUCCCCUACCGCACUCUAGUCUGCCCGUACCCACUGCAGGCCCGAGGUUGAGCCUCGGGAUUUCACAGCAGACGCGACAAACCGCCUACGAGCUCUUUACGCCCAAUAAUUCCGGAUAACGCUUGCGCCCUACGUAUUACCGCGGCUGCUGGCACGUAGUUAGCCGGCGCUUUUUCUGCAGGUACCGUCACUCUCGCUUCUUCCCUGCUAAAAGAGGUUUACAACCCGAAGGCCGUCAUCCCUCACGCGGCGUUGCUGCAUCAGGCUUCCGCCCAUUGUGCAAUAUUCCCCACUGCUGCCUCCCGUAGGAGUCUGGGCCGUGUCUCAGUCCCAGUGUGGCCGGUCACCCUCUCAGGCCGGCUACCCGUCGACGCCUUGGUGAGCCAUUACCUCACCAACAAGCUGAUAGGCCGCGAGCCCAUCCCAGACCGAAAAAUCUUUCCAACCCCCACCAUGCGAUGAGAGCUCAUAUCCAGUAUUAGACGCCGUUUCCAGCGCUUAUCCCAGAGUCCAGGGCAGGUUGCUCACGUGUUACUCACCCGUUCGCCACUGAUCCACCAAGCAAGCUUGGCUUCACCGUUCGACUGCA
This 1385-nucleotide ribosomal RNA is filed under the name Actinomycetes bacterium. RNAcentral describes it as "Actinobacteria bacterium partial 16S ribosomal RNA". The record is from RNAcentral. Lineage: Bacteria; Bacillati; Actinomycetota; Actinomycetes.